Staphylococcus aureus subsp. aureus NCTC 8325 is the source of this 59-nucleotide small RNA. It matches the Rfam family "Staphylococcus sRNA sau-5949". The record is from Rfam. NCBI's taxonomy places the organism in Bacteria, Bacillati, Bacillota, Bacilli, Caryophanales, Staphylococcaceae.
UUAUCUCCUUUAGUUAUUUGUUUAGUCACUUUUAAUUAUAGAGAUAAUUGCGCUUUUUU